This 68-nucleotide transfer RNA is filed under the name Mytilisepta virgata. Its description in RNAcentral is "tRNA-Asp". Lineage: Eukaryota; Metazoa; Mollusca; Bivalvia; Mytilida; Mytilidae. The record is from RNAcentral.
UUUUUUUUAUUAUUUGUUUUUAGUGAUAUAGUUAAUGUGCAUAAUAACAGGUUGUCGACUUGUAGUUG